This 45-nucleotide non-coding RNA is filed under the name Schistosoma mattheei. Lineage: Eukaryota; Metazoa; Platyhelminthes; Trematoda; Strigeidida; Schistosomatidae. The record is from RNAcentral.
AUUUAGCUGAAGAGUCCCAAAUGGGACGAAAUGCUUGUCGUUGAU